This 149-nucleotide non-coding RNA is filed under the name uncultured Mallomonas. The record is from RNAcentral. Lineage: Eukaryota; Synurophyceae; Synurales; Mallomonadaceae.
AAUAUUUUUAUAUGACAAAGAGAGAGAAUCUAGACCUGUGCAUAGAUUAUAAUAUCUUCUUUUCUUUCUCUGUUCAUUUCUUUCUUUUUUACUAUUUUGUUCUUUUUCUUGUUUUGUAUUUUGUGUAUGAGGAUGUGAUUGAGAGACUG